UUUCCGUAGGUGAACCUGCGGAAGGAUCAUUAGUGAAUUGAAUAUGUUAGCGGACCUCUUCGGAGUCCCUAGUAUCAAAUCAUAUCCAUAACACCUGUGAACUGUAAGGCUGUCUUGAAAACGAAAGUGAUUAGAGCGCCUGCCCAUUUUAUACAAACAUUAAAGUAACAAACGUAGUCUUAUUAUAAUCUAAUAAACUUUCAACAACGGAUCUCUUGGCUCUC
RNAcentral lists this unclassified non-coding RNA (224 nucleotides) under plant metagenome. RNAcentral describes it as "partial contains small subunit ribosomal RNA, internal transcribed spacer 1, and 5.8S ribosomal RNA". The record is from RNAcentral.